AGUGAACGCUGGCGGUAGGCCUAACACAUGCAAGUCGAACGGCAGCACAGGAGAGCUUGCUCUCUGGGUGGCGAGUGGCGGACGGGUGAGGAAUACAUCGGAAUCUACUUUUUCGUGGGGGAUAACGUAGGGAAACUUACGCUAAUACCGCAUACGACCUACGGGUGAAAGCAGGGGACCUUCGGGCCUUGCGCGAUUGAAUGAGCCGAUGUCGGAUUAGCUAGUUGGCGGGGUAAAGGCCCACCAAGGCGACGAUCCGUAGCUGGCCUGAGAGGAUGAUCAGCCACACUGGAACUGAGACACGGUCCAGACUCCUACGGGAGGCAGCAGUGGGGAAUAUUGGACAAUGGGCGCAAGCCUGAUCCAGCCAUGCCGCGUGGGUGAAGAAGGCCUUCGGGUUGUAAAGCCCUUUUGUUGGGAAAGAAAUCCAGCUGGCUAAUACCCGGUUGGGAUGACGGUACCCAAAGAAUAAGCACCGGCUAACUUCGUGCCAGCAGCCGCCGUAA
Molecule: ribosomal RNA, 506 nt
Filed under: uncultured bacterium
Lineage: Bacteria
Description: partial 16S ribosomal RNA
Rfam family: Bacterial small subunit ribosomal RNA
Source: RNAcentral